UAGGGAAUCUUCGGCAAUGGACGAAAGUCUGACCGAGCAACGCCGCGAGAGUGAAGAAGGUUUUCGGAUCGUAAAACUCUGUUGUUAGAGAAGAACAAGGACGUUAGUAACUGAACGUCCCCUGACGGUAUCUAACCAGAAAGCCACGGCUAACUACGUGCCAGCAGCCGCGGUAAUACGUAGGUGGCAAGCGUUGUCCGGAUUUAUUGGGCGUAAAGCGAGCGCAGGCGGUUUCUUAAGUCUGAUGUGAAAGCCCCCGGCUCAACCGGGGAGGGUAAUUGGAAACAGAGAGACUUGAGUGCAGAAGAGGAGAGUGGAAUUCCAUGUGUAGCGGUGAAAUACGUAGAUAUAUGGCGGAACACCAGUAGCGAAGGCGGCUCUCUGGUCUGUAACUGCAGCUGAGGCUCGAAAGCGUGGGGAGCAAACAGG
RNAcentral lists this ribosomal RNA (429 nucleotides) under Gemmatimonadota bacterium. RNAcentral describes it as "Gemmatimonadetes bacterium partial 16S ribosomal RNA". It matches the Rfam family "Bacterial small subunit ribosomal RNA", at positions 355 to 776 of the family's 1533-position model. The record is from RNAcentral. Lineage: Bacteria; Pseudomonadati; Gemmatimonadota.